Molecule: ribosomal RNA, 658 nt
Filed under: uncultured Eubacteriales bacterium
Lineage: Bacteria; Bacillati; Bacillota; Clostridia; Eubacteriales
Description: bacterial SSU rRNA
Rfam family: Bacterial small subunit ribosomal RNA
Source: RNAcentral
UUAGCUGAUUUCUUCGGAAUGAAAUUAAGCGGAUUAGUGGCGAACGGGUGAGUAACACGUGAGUAACCUGCCUUACACAAGGGGAUAGCCUUUGGAAACGAAGAAUAAUACCCUAUAAAGUCAAAAUAUCGCAUGAUAAAGUGACCAAAGAUUUAUCGGUGUAAGAUGGACUUGCGUCUGAUUAGCUAGUUGGUGAGAUAAAAGCCCACCAAGGCGACGAUCAGUAGCCGGCUUAAGAGAGUGUACGGCCACAUUGGGACUGAGACACGGCCCAAACUCCUACGGGAGGCAGCAGUGGGGAAUUUUGCACAAUGGGGGAAACCCUGAUGCAGCGACGCCGCGUGAUUUAGAAGGCCUUCGGGUUGUAAAAAUCUUUUUUAUGGGAUGAAAAUGACAGUACCAUAAGAAUAAGGUCCGGCUAAAUACGUGCCAGCAGCCGCGGUAAUACGUAUGGACCGAGCGUUGUCCGGAAUCAUUGGGCGUAAAGGGUACGUAGGCGGCCUAGUAAGUUAGAAGUGAAAUAAUAUAGCUCAACUAUAUAAAGCUUUUAAAACUGUUAGGCUUGAGAGAUGAAAGGGAAAGUGGAAUUCCUAGUGUAGCGGUGAAAUGCGCAGAUAUUAGGAAGAAUACCGGUGGCGAAGGCGACUUUCUGGUCAUC